GCAUCGUCUGAAGAAUCGCCGUCACAGCACACGCACGGAAAGAUAUACCUUUCUUCUUUGGCUGUGGGGAAAGUCCCCGGAGAAACAGGGUUGUACCUCCUCGUUCACAAUGGAAAGCUCCCAGCUCUAAGAGCGCUGCGGGGAACGACGUUGGUCGGGAAGAUUGAUUUACUGGACUUGCUGCCAUCGUGCUCAGGACUUGUUCCCCUUGCCCACCCUGUUGCUGACUCGAUUUCAAGUGCUCUAACAACUGCACGGCUACGCGAAGAUAUGAGCGUGGUUGUGUAUGAGUCAUCUUGGAAGACGGUUGGUGCUUCGUUGCUCAUAGACAUAGUUAUGCGAUUGUCGACUGCUUCUGGCAUGUCUUCAACUCAAUGGGGCUCACUCUCAUUCGAUG
RNAcentral lists this RNase MRP RNA (397 nucleotides) under Rhizopogon vesiculosus. Its description in RNAcentral is "RNase MRP". It matches the Rfam family "RNase MRP". Rfam says of the family: RNase MRP is an enzymatically active ribonucleoprotein with two distinct roles in eukaryotes. Lineage: Eukaryota; Fungi; Basidiomycota; Agaricomycetes; Boletales; Rhizopogonaceae. The record is from Rfam by way of RNAcentral.